This 137-nucleotide small RNA is filed under the name Marmota monax (woodchuck). Lineage: Eukaryota; Metazoa; Chordata; Mammalia; Rodentia; Sciuridae. The record is from RNAcentral.
GCUGGGCAUGGUGGUGCACACCUGUAAUCCCAGCAACUUGGGAGGCUGAGGCAAGAGGAUCACAAGUUCAAGGCCAGCCUCAGCAAUUUAGGGCCUUACUACAAGGCCCUAAGCAACUUAAUGAGACCCUGUCUCAA